CAGAAUUGACACGGAUGACAAAUGCCAUCUAGAUCGGUUUGGGAAUGUCAUUGUGCAAUAUGGUUUGUUGAGACAUAGCAUUUACUAAGACAUUUGAAUAAAUAGUAGAGCAUGUCUGGGUAGCACACGUCAUUAUAUGUUGUAGCCUUACCAUAGUAGAGGUUGCACAAAGGAAGAAAAUGAAUGAUAAGUAGAACUAUAUGUAUACAAAUAUUGUCGUCCAGUACAGCUGGACUGUGACAGAAGUAGGGAAGGCAACGGCUUGCUAUCUUUUGCACCAUUAAGCACUGAACAAGAUAGAAGGGAAUGUUGCGGGGUUAUAGAAUUAUCUAACACGUUUGUAUAUGUCGGAUCGUACGGCUUAGGACCCCAAGAUUGAUCUGAGGAGGCAUAACUAGCUCUUUAUUGUCUCUUAGUGUUCUAUUUUCAACCUUUUACAUCUCUUUCAAGUACAGAGUAAAAGUAUAGCAUGAUCAGACAAACACGAAUCAGUCGACGUUCAAUGUAUGUAAUCGACGUUCUAUGUAUGUAUCAUUCGUGUUUGUCUGACCAGACAAUCGAUUGGCACCGCAAUCUCGGACUAUUUCCAUGAAGCAAGGGAACCACUAACAUUAAUAUGCAUGUGACGUACAACAUGGUAUUUAGCCUGGUGAUGAUUGACUUGUUGUUGGGUACUAAAUACUUACUUUCGUAUGUGUCAUAUUUCUUCCACACACAUUAAGUAACUAUCAGGUCCCUCGUUUCAAAUUAAUUAGCUACAAUGCGACCCCAGAAAGGCAAACUAGUCGUGAUGCCAUCUAAAUGCAAUCAAGCUGGCAUACGUUUGGGAAUGAAACCAUUGCAAACUGACCAAACAUUAUGAAAUUCCACUAAACAUUCCAAAAAAUACAUUUGACUAGGUAAAAAUAUGACAAGUAUUUUAGGAUUAAAAGAAGUACUCUAUAUACUAGUAUAAUAUUUACGACAUUAAUUAAGGUGAAAAUAACCAGUAUAAGGUUUUCGUGAUGCAUGCUUUCAAAUUGCCAAGAAAAUGAGAUUUUAGAUGUAGGUUGCUCAUGGCUAAAUAUAUGCUGAGAUGCAUGUCUUUGGAUUUUGUAAUAUGGUCUUCCAUAUAACAUGUCCGAGAUGGCGUGAGUAAAAAUUGAUGCAUUUUCUUUGGUCGCCCUUAUUCCAUAGUUGAGUCCAUUCACAUUUCUCGUAUAUGCUUUCAUGGUCCAAGUGAUCGUCCCAAAAAAUAAGUAUACAUUAUAUACGCAUACAAGAAAAAAAUAAGGACAAGUCGAGCAACAUAUGCUAAAUACACCAUUGGAUUCUCGAGAAUGUAGAUUCUUGGAUUAAGUAACAGAGUUGAGUGGGAGGGCUAGAGGAACCCAAUGCACAAAUAAGAGAAUCUAGUGAGCUUAGUAAAAACAUGGAAUUGCUGAUAAAGUGGAUCAAGUGAUAACGUCUUGAGAAAAAUUCACAUGAACACGAGGAAUGAAUUUGGCAAUUCAAUUGGCUUUCUUUUGGAACUUAAUCACAUAUACCAAAUAUUCACUAAUGUUGAAACUUACGUGAUCAUUGUACAGGCCAAGGCCCACCUUGACCUGUGAAAACUCCAAACCUUACUGGUUGGAUCGGAGCCUUAACAACCCAACUUAGAUUUGAACAAAUAGGAAGAAUAAUUUUAUGAACUACGGUAAAAAAACAUGUAUCAUUUGAGAAAUCCAUCACAAACAUCUGCCACCAUUAGAUCCAGGCUAGCGGAAAGCCUUGCUCAACUUCUCCCUUGUUUCUAAAAGUGAUCAGCGAUCGAUCCUCAUUGAGUAGAGGAUCAAACUGACCGGGGCGAAGAAUAUUUAAAUCUCGAUGGUUCAUCCUAUUCACAUGAGCAACCUAUACAUUUCUAUCAUGUAUGGUUGCCAAUCUGGUCAUUCACAUGCCCCAUCAACCACCUCCUUAGCUAGUUCAAAAUACAUUUGAUGGAUGGUUGGUUAUCACUCGUAUUCAUGGAAAUCUAUUAUUUUGUGUGAAUUUAAUCUAGCUCACAUAAAUGUGGUUCAUUCAUUAUCUUGUUUCUAAGUAGCUUUGUGCGAUGAUUUUCUUGUUUAGCUCAUAUCAGUUUUGAUCGCCAAUUUUGUAGAGCUUAUGUACCCGUUAUGAGCACCAUCUUUUAUAGUUUCAAUCGUGUACAGGAUGUGCACAUUACUACAUAUGCACAUCACCCUUACUCCAAAUACAACAUAUUUCUACCAAUUGCAAGGCACAUCAAUUGAUAUUACAGUUUUAGUAUAGGUAAAUCCACAUGUAUAUUGUCUGACAUGAGGAUAAGAGUCACAUAUCAAUGUUGUAUUAGUUUAGAGCUCACAUAUCACUUAACUGAGUGCAAAUUUUAGACCCCGAUGUGUAAGAGUUCUUGGUUGUCUUCCUGAGGCAGAUAUCGCUCCAUGCUAUUAAUUAGGAUUUUAUAUUAUCUUUGAAAUUCACAUCUAUGUUAUAGUGAAAAUUGGGUAUAAACAUGGAAACCAUUUUAUUUUGGAGCACCCAAAAAGGAAUGUCCUUCACAUCUCCGUUGAGCUUGAGUUCAAAGAAGUGCAACGUGGCAAUGAUGUCCGCCAAGUUGCAAGUAUGAGUGCAGUUGUAGGUCGGGAUCUCAUUUUAACUCGAUGGAAUUUCACGAUGGGUCAUGUUUUGGUUUAAUUUAUCUAAUGAUAUUAGUUAUUUUAAUAUCUGAGAGGCUACAUGUACUUAUACUUGAACAUAGAAAACUUUAUCUUCGUUUUAUUUACAUGUAACCAAAGUUGGAUUGUUUGAGGUGUGGUCAGAGUAGCUAGGUUGUGUUGGGGCCAAGGUGAGCAUUGGUUCCUAAAAAUUUGUGUACCAUCAAUAGUGAUGCUAGUUGUGAUAGAAAUAAAUUAAGGUCCAGACUAUUGCCA
RNAcentral lists this long non-coding RNA (2915 nucleotides) under Hordeum vulgare. Its description in RNAcentral is "long non-coding RNA (HVUL_LNC000382)". The record is from RNAcentral. Lineage: Eukaryota; Viridiplantae; Streptophyta; Magnoliopsida; Poales; Poaceae.